This 233-nucleotide unclassified non-coding RNA is filed under the name uncultured fungus. RNAcentral's name for it is "sequence contains ITS1". The record is from RNAcentral. Lineage: Eukaryota; Fungi.
GUAUUUAUUAUAUAAUUUAUAUAUUUCAGACCAAUAAUAUUUAGACAUGUUAAUAAAAUUGGCAGGCCGAGCUAGCACCGUAACACCAGCACCAAACCCACAGGCUCGUCGUUAUACAGAGCCUUAACCUGCCAACAAACACUUCAAUGAUUCACACAAGGUGGAUAUGGAUAAAAUUAUCCAUUAUUAGUGGAUAAUUGUUAAUGAUCCUUCCGCAGGUUCACCUACGGAAA